RNAcentral lists this ribosomal RNA (253 nucleotides) under uncultured bacterium. RNAcentral describes it as "partial 16S ribosomal RNA". It matches the Rfam family "Bacterial small subunit ribosomal RNA", at positions 524 to 776 of the family's 1533-position model. The record is from RNAcentral.
UACGUAGGGUGCAAGCGUUAAUCGGAAUUACUGGGCGUAAAGCGUGCGCAGGCGGUGCUGUAAGACAGGCGUGAAAUCCCCGGGCUCAACCUGGGAAUUGCGCUUGUGACUGCAGUGCUGGAGUGCGGCAGAGGGGGAUGGAAUUCCGCGUGUAGCAGUGAAAUGCGUAGAUAUGCGGAGGAACACCGAUGGCGAAGGCAAUCCCCUGGGCCUGCACUGACGCUCAUGCACGAAAGCGUGGGGAGCAAACAGG